RNAcentral lists this ribosomal RNA (353 nucleotides) under Achromobacter sp. 109R. RNAcentral describes it as "bacterial SSU rRNA". It matches the Rfam family "Bacterial small subunit ribosomal RNA", at positions 975 to 1333 of the family's 1533-position model. The record is from RNAcentral. Lineage: Bacteria; Pseudomonadati; Pseudomonadota; Betaproteobacteria; Burkholderiales; Alcaligenaceae.
CUACCCUUGACAUGUCUGGAAUUCCGAAGAGAUUUGGAAGUGCUCGCAAGAGAACCGGAACACAGGUGCUGCAUGGCUGUCGUCAGCUCGUGUCGUGAGAUGUUGGGUUAAGUCCCGCAACGAGCGCAACCCUUGUCAUUAGUUGCUACGAAAGGGCACUCUAAUGAGACUGCCGGUGACAAACCGGAGGAAGGUGGGGAUGACGUCAAGUCCUCAUGGCCCUUAUGGGUAGGGCUUCACACGUCAUACAAUGGUCGGGACAGAGGGUCGCCAACCCGCGAGGGGGAGCCAAUCCCAGAAUCCCCUCCUAGUCCGGAUCGCAGUCUGCAACUCGACUGCGUGAAGUCGGAAUC